CUCAUCUUUGAAGCAGACCAGUUGAAGCUGAACACUGUCAAAGUCAUAGGCUGAAUCAAUAUUUUAUCAGCUCAGUAGAUGUUCUUAUGUGGUACCCAUUGAAAUUACCUUCACCAUAAUUAAGAGAAUGAUUAGGCAAAAG
RNAcentral lists this long non-coding RNA (142 nucleotides) under Cyanistes caeruleus (blue tit). Its description in RNAcentral is "lncRNA (ENSCCEG00000003399.1)". Lineage: Eukaryota; Metazoa; Chordata; Aves; Passeriformes; Paridae. The record is from RNAcentral.